Molecule: long non-coding RNA, 298 nt
Filed under: Bos taurus (domestic cattle)
Lineage: Eukaryota; Metazoa; Chordata; Mammalia; Artiodactyla; Bovidae
Description: long non-coding RNA NONBTAT000373
Source: RNAcentral
CAUAAAUGCGAAAGAACUACAUACUGUGCGUGUUGUGGGGGCUAAGUCAGGCGAACAUUGAUGUUCCCCUGCCUUCCCUGAAAUUCUACCUCUUGGAAAUAAUUCUGUUGAUUUAAGCCUUUACCUCAUGCACUGAUUGGGAAUCUUUUUUUAGUUUAGUGAUCCAACUGGAGAGGAAAAACCAUCCCGACUUUGAAAGGGUUUCCUUUCCUGGGUCUAAACAAUUCAGAGAUUACUGUUCAUCAGUCUGAAUUGCUUUUUCUUUUACCCUUUCCAUUUUGAAGUUCAUGUUGCCUCU